GACGAACGCUGGCGGCGUGCCUAAUACAUGCAAGUAGAACGCUGAAGAGAGGAGCUUACUCUUCUUGGAUGAGUUGCGAACGGGUGAGUAACGCGUAGGUAACCUGCCUUGUAGCGGGGGAUAACUAUUGGAAACGAUAGCUAAUACCGCAUAACAAUGGAUGACACAUGUCACUUAUUUGAAAGGGGCAAUUGCUCCACUACAAGAUGGACCUGCGUUGUAUUAGCUAGUAGGUGAGGUAAUGGCUCACCUAGGCGACGAUACAUAGCCGACCUGAGAGGGUGAUCGGCCACACUGGGACUGAGACACGGCCCAGACUCCUACGGGAGGCAGCAGUAGGGAAUCUUCGGCAAUGGGGGCAACCCUGACCGAGCAACGCCGCGUGAGUGAAGAAGGUUUUCGGAUCGUAAAGCUCUGUUGUAAGUCAAGAACGGGUGUGAGAGUGGAAAGUUCACACUGUGACGGUAGCUUACCAGAAAGGGACGGCUAACUACGUG
RNAcentral lists this ribosomal RNA (497 nucleotides) under uncultured bacterium. Its description in RNAcentral is "partial 16S ribosomal RNA". It matches the Rfam family "Bacterial small subunit ribosomal RNA", at positions 28 to 507 of the family's 1533-position model. The record is from RNAcentral.